GGAGGGUUGCCCGAGUGGCCAAAGGGAGCAGACUGUAAAUCUGCCGGCUUAUGCCUACGGUGGUUCGAACCCACCACCCUCCACCA
This 86-nucleotide transfer RNA is filed under the name Myxococcales bacterium SG8_38. RNAcentral describes it as "tRNA-Tyr". It matches the Rfam family "tRNA". Rfam says of the family: Transfer RNA (tRNA) molecules are approximately 80 nucleotides in length. Their secondary structure includes four short double-helical elements and three loops (D, anti-codon, and T loops). RNAcentral also lists the same sequence under 4 other names. Lineage: Bacteria; Pseudomonadati; Myxococcota; Myxococcia; Myxococcales. The record is from RNAcentral.